Hemicordylus capensis (graceful crag lizard) is the source of this 767-nucleotide long non-coding RNA. RefSeq lists it as uncharacterized. The record is from RefSeq and is a predicted model, not a curated record. Lineage: Eukaryota; Metazoa; Chordata; Lepidosauria; Squamata; Cordylidae. The transcript has 3 exons.
CAUUACCAGAAGCUGGGCUGUCUUGGCACUUUGCCCCCAGUUGUCCCCGUCAUAGGGCAGAGAGAGAGGCGAGCCACCAAGCAAGGCGGAGGGCAGCAAUCCCAAACAUGUACAGAGACCAAGCAUAGGGAGAGGGGGAAUCAAACAAGUGGAAAUAUGAGAACAGGCAUAAGGCACUUUUGAGUUUUGGUCCUUGCUACUGACAAAUUUCUUCAUGUGAAAAGGAAAACCACCUUUUAAACUGCUGAGAGGACGCAAAGCUACCACCAAAUUUCCCAAAGGCAACAACUGAUAGAGCUUUCCAUACGAUUGCACUCUGAGGAUGCAGAUAUUCAUGAUCAGGUCAAGACUUUCCAGCAAGCCUAUGAUGAGAAAAGAGGUAAGGGAAUCUCAUCUCAAGAGAAGAACUGGAGAGGACUUUGAUCUUGCCUCCAGUUUUGUUCUCACAGAGGAGGCUGAUGAAAGUGAUGGACAAACCUUUGUACCAGAAAGAAUAUUAUGAACAGCUCCUUGGUCGGAGAACCCAAUAAUUAGAAGAAGUGUAUGUGACAGGAGACCACCUAAAUAUCUUCAAGACUUUGUCACUGGAUUUCAAAUCAAUUCAAUUUUUGCUUGUUAUAAAGGGGAAAGUUGUGUUGUAUCCUAUCCAGUAACUUGUAUGUUUUCUUAUUUAGCAAUUUGUCCCAGUGGGGAUCCUGUAGAGUGUGUGUGUGUGUGGGGGGGAGACAAAGUGUGGGGGGUGGUUUCAGAAAGGAAAGGGGAGGGGA